Phascolarctos cinereus (koala) is the source of this 1394-nucleotide non-coding RNA. The record is from RefSeq and is a predicted model, not a curated record. NCBI's taxonomy places the organism in Eukaryota, Metazoa, Chordata, Mammalia, Diprotodontia, Phascolarctidae.
CUGCUGUCAAGGAGUUUACAUUCUACUGGGGAAAAUAACAGAACCCAGGGUGAGCGUUCAGAUGACCUCCCCAAGGAGACUGGGGAACGUUCUGAAACCUUCAAGCCGUGAGGCAGAGUGAAUAAGGACUCCUUAUCAUCUACUGCAGUCCUCAUUUCACCCCUGGGAAGAGCACAGAUGCUGAGGCAAGAAGGCCCACCUACACUCAGCAUGAGAAGAGAGUUAAAUUCUUUCUCAAUUCUUCUUGGGGCCUUUCUCACAAGAAGAUAAAUACAUGAACCGCGAUUUCAUCAGUAUAGAAAGCUGCUAAUGACUGAUAUAAAUCAGCAUCUUCCCUGUAACCUAAACAUCUCAUCUUACAGAUGAAGAAAGUGGACAGGGCUGGAAAGAUGCAAGGCUCUGUAUCCAAGAGAACUUCCCAAGACUUGUCAAACCUGAAGAUUCCUGUCUGCCUCUAGUGAUUCACUGGGGACCCAUCUGAUAGUGCCAGAAGAAUCAUUAGCAUUGCUAAUGACCAUGAAGUCAUGGGAGAGAAAUUGAAGACCUUCAGGACACAGGUGGAAUUUUCAUCAUGGCAUUAGAUCAAAGCAUCAUUGGGUGUCCUUGAAGGUGCAAACCUGAAGCAUCUGGAGCCAGAUGAAUCGUCCAGAUGUGCGAUGGAUCAUUCAUGCACUUUGUAGCACACCAUAAGGCGCAGAAGAGGCCAGCCAAUGGAGAGGCAUAGACAUGUGCCAAAAACGCUUGCCCAGAAUUGCUCUGGGAUUGACUGGAACGCAUUUGAAAUGCUCCCAGGGCUUAACAGAAAUAUGGCUCUGCUGAUGAAUGGGACAAUGGUAUGGAUGCUGAAUAGCUCUUGAUUUCUUGGGUUGGCAUGUCACAAACGCCUUUAUCUCCUUACCUCAGUGCCAGGGGGUCCAAUGACAAGAUGCUUGGGUUCCAAAGAUGCCAUCAGUUAAUUAGUAAGGUUUCCUAUUUCACAUCCUACUCUUGCUCUACCAUUCGAUUCAGGGGACUGGAGGUGUAGAAGAGAAAUGACAAUAAUAAUAUCUCAUGUUUCUAUAGCACUUCAAAGUUGGCAGAAUAUUUCAUGUACCACCAGGCAGGGUAAGUGUUAAUCUCCAUGUUCUAGAUGAGAAAACUGAGGCUUAGAAAGGUUACAGACUGGUUUGUGGUCAUAGUAAGUUUCUGAGAAAGGAUUUGAACCCAGGUCUUCCUUAUUCCAAUGCCAUCAUUCUCUCCACCAUCCAGCACCUGAUGUAUUCAGCUUCAUACUUACAAGCAAGCCAAGGCUAUUGUUAAAUUUAGAAACAGAAUAUUUUCAUUCAGAAUAUUUGUAUUUUUAGCAAGUUGUCUCUUCUGAUAGAAUAUAAGCUUCUUAAGGGCAAGGACUUUCA